Molecule: ribosomal RNA, 482 nt
Filed under: uncultured bacterium
Lineage: Bacteria
Description: partial 16S ribosomal RNA
Rfam family: Bacterial small subunit ribosomal RNA
Source: RNAcentral
AUUGAACGCUGGCGGCAUGCCUUACACAUGCAAGUCGAACGGUAACGGGCCUUCGGGUGCCGACGAGUGGCGAACGGGUGAGUAAUACAUCGGAACGUGCCCGAUCGUGGGGGAUAACGAGGCGAAAGCUUUGCUAAUACCGCAUACGAUCUACGGAUGAAAGCAGGGGACCGCAAGGCCUUGCGCGGACGGAGCGGCCGAUGGCAGAUUAGGUAGUUGGUGGGAUAAAAGCUUACCAAGCCGACGAUCUGUAGCUGGUCUGAGAGGAGGAUCAGCCACAUUGGGACUGAGACACGGCCCAGACUCCUACGGGAGGCAGCAGUGGGGAAUUUUGGACAAUGGGCGCAAGCCUGAUCCAGCCAUGCCGCGUGCAGGAUGAAGGCCUUCGGGUUGUAAACUGCUUUUGUACGGAACGAAAAGCCUUCUUUUAAUACAGGAGGGUCAUGACGGUACCGUAAGAAUAAGCACCGGCUAACUACGUG